RNAcentral lists this long non-coding RNA (711 nucleotides) under Mus musculus (house mouse). RNAcentral's name for it is "long non-coding RNA chrX:101462686-101463397". The record is from RNAcentral. Lineage: Eukaryota; Metazoa; Chordata; Mammalia; Rodentia; Muridae.
UUUAUUUGUCCCCUGCAUUCCCUGGCACUCUCUCCCGCAGGGCUGUUCAGACCAUUCGUUGUCUUCUGAAACUACAAAUUCCUGUGUCGCUCCUACUUCAAAAGACUCCAUGCUGGAUACUCUGAUCAGAUUAGCUGUUCCAUCUGCAACAAAUUAGUAUUAUCUGUCUGCCUUCCAGCCCUUCCCCUUACCUAUCCAAUUCCCUUCCUGGAAAAGCGAUCAACAUUCUUUUUUCUCAUUUAUUCAUCCCUAGAUAUUUCAUGACCCUACUGGUAAAAAUACGGAAACAAGAGAAUGUACAUUGGUCGUUUGACAUAAGAGAGAAAGGUAUUCCACCAGAGGACUCAUCCUGGCCAAAGGCACAGAGAGAACUAAGAUAUAUUUAGAAAACAGGAGUAGUGAAUAGAGCAAUAAUCCCAGCUGCUGCCUCAACUGCUGCUUCUCCUUUUCCAGAUCUGACUUCAGCCUGAGUGUCCCUUGCCUGGACUGGUCCACAUACCAGCUGUGAGGAAAUUGGAUCCUCCGAGGCCCCUUGUGCAUCCUACCUUCCCUGGACCUCUGUUACUAUUUAUUGAGCUUUGACCCCCCAACCAUCUGUUUCAGUCCUGGUAAAGAGGUCCGGGUUCCGUUCUGAAUCAUGCUCCAAGCCGCUGAGCAGUCUUCCGUUUCCUUUGUUGCAUGGACAGUUUCUCUAUACCACUAAAAGCAGGA